Molecule: long non-coding RNA, 492 nt
Organism: Bombyx mori (domestic silkworm)
Lineage: Eukaryota; Metazoa; Arthropoda; Insecta; Lepidoptera; Bombycidae
Exons: 2
Source: RefSeq, a predicted model, not a curated record
AAACGAAUGAUUUGAAUUAUUUACGCGCGAUAUUUUAAAUUAACAACUAAAAUCAAAUGAAAUUUAAAAAAAACAACACGCACUUAAAUCUAAAUGUGGUUUAGCGAGCUAUUUAGAUUUCUUUAGUGAAUUCCCUCGAAGUCGUAAAAAAAAUUAUUACUCGACUGUCAAUUCGCCAAACGCCAUAUUGGUUUUAUUGACACGUCUUAGUAAAAUAUUUCUUGACUUGUGGAAUAUUAAGACGCAUUGUACCACUUUUCAUUUACUGAACUACCUACGAAAAAAGUGACUACUCGCAAAGAAGCCGGCUGAUAAAGAAUCGUGAUAAGAGCGUGUCCCAUAUACAUAAAUAUAUCAUGUUAUCAGUGCUCUUGACAGAAAUCUUUUAUUACCAGGUGUGCAAAACAUUUGGUACAUAGUAAAUUUUAUUAUAUAUUUUUUUUGACCGGCAAAGGAAAGAACAGAGAAACUAUUAAAAAUGUUAUCUACAAA